CCCUCUUUCCUCUUCUUUAUUCACGUAAGAAAAAUUCAAAUAGAGGAAUCUUCUUCAUCAUUCGAUUUUUCUCGUCGAUAGUUUCAGACCCGGAGAUUUAGAUUUGGGCAUAUCUAGAUAGUUGUAAUCUUCUUCAUCCUUCUGCUCUUUCUCAUUGUCGGGAUUAUCACCUAACAUCAUCCUCGUCGUCUUGAGGUUCGCAUCUCCAUCAUCCUUUUUUUGUAGGUCCACUAGAGGAAGAAAUUGAAUUAUCGAAUGAACAGAAGAUGUUAAGACGCUAAGACGGUGAAAGAAGACAACAAAGAUAUGAAAACUCUUAGCUUUUUUGUAGUUGUAAUGUAGUUUUUCUAAAAUUAUCCCUUAGUAUAUAUUUCUAGUUUUAUUUGAUUGUUGUUUUUAGUUUUAGCUGUACGGUGAUUAUUUAAAUAAACUUUCAUUUUCUUUU
This 445-nucleotide long non-coding RNA is filed under the name Linum usitatissimum (flax). RNAcentral's name for it is "long non-coding RNA (LUSI_LNC007361)". Lineage: Eukaryota; Viridiplantae; Streptophyta; Magnoliopsida; Malpighiales; Linaceae. The record is from RNAcentral.